GACGAACGCUGGCGGCGUGCUUAACACAUGCAAGUCGAACGAUGAAACCUAGCUUGCUAGGUCGAUUAGUGGCGAACGGGUGAGUAACACGUGACUAACCUGCCCCUUUCUCUGGGAUAACGCUUCGAAAGGAGUGCUAAUACCGGAUACUCACAUCGAGGCACAUGCCUUGAGGUGGAAAGUUUUUCGGAAAGGGAUGGAGUCGCGGCCUAUCAGCUUGUUGGUGAGGUAACGGCCCACCAAGGCGACGACGGGUAGCCGGCCUGAGAGGGCGACCGGCCACACUGGGACUGAGACACGGCCCAGACUCCUACGGGAGGCAGCAGUGGGGAAUAUUGCACAAUGGGCGCAAGCCUGAUGCAGCGACGCCGCGUGAGGGAUGAAGGUCUUCGGAUUGUAAACCUCUUUCAGUAGGGACGAAGCGAAAGUGACGGUACCUAAAGAAGAAGCACCGGCUAACUACGUGCCAGCCGCCGCAGUAA
This 482-nucleotide ribosomal RNA is filed under the name uncultured bacterium. RNAcentral describes it as "partial 16S ribosomal RNA". It matches the Rfam family "Bacterial small subunit ribosomal RNA", at positions 28 to 523 of the family's 1533-position model. The record is from RNAcentral.